Molecule: long non-coding RNA, 977 nt
Organism: Panthera uncia (snow leopard)
Lineage: Eukaryota; Metazoa; Chordata; Mammalia; Carnivora; Felidae
Exons: 3
Source: RefSeq, a predicted model, not a curated record
CGCCAGCCCGCCAGCCCGCCAGCCCGCCAGCCCGCCAGCCCGCCAGCCCGCCAGCCCGCCAGCCCGCCAGCCCGCCAGCCCAGCGCCGCGGCACUCGGACCUCGCGCCUUUCGCCACCGGAUCCGGAAGUAGCCCCACGCAAGGCGGAAGACCCGCCCGGCCUCCCGCGCGCCGCUGGCGGGGGCGGGCCCUUCCGCAGGCUCCGCCCUUCGCCUUUCCUGGGAGAUAAGGAUGGGCUCGUUCUGCAGAGGCGCAACCGACGCGCAGGCGCUCUAGUGGGCUGGUCUCGCACUGAGGCCCAAGGGGCAUGGACUCCGGGUUCCUGCCACGGCCGGGGGUUCCGUUCCCAACCUGACCUCCCGGUCGCCCCUCUCGGCGGUCCUCGAGAAGGUCUAGAGUUCCGGCUGGCCAUUACACCCAGUCUCGGGUUUUCUCCCCUCCCCUGAAGAAGCUGAUCCUUCUUGCCACCACUGGCUGAUGUCCCUCAAGCCAGAUAUUCUGAUCCUGAUGGUAGCAUCUCCUCAUUGGCCUUUCGCCAUUAGAAUCUAGGCAGAAAGAUUUCUUCUCCAAGUGUUUAAUUUUGUAUCUUCCUCAUUCAUCAAGGGUGCACAGACCUGGAAAACAUGCUAUGCGAAAGAAGCCAGAUAUAAGAGAUCAAGAUAUAAGAGAAGCCAGAUAUAAUGGUUGCCAGGGGCUGGUGUAUGGAGAAAACAGGGAGUGACUGCUUAAUGUGCAGGAAGUUUCCACUUUAGGGUAGUGAAAAAAAAUCCUGGAACUAGUAAGUGUUGAUGGUUGCAUAACAUUGUGAAUGUACCUAAUGUCACUAAAUUGCACACUUUAAAAUGGUCAAAAUGAGGGGCGCGUGGCUGGCUCGAUCGGUGGAGCGUACCACUCUUGACCUUGGGGUUGUGAGUUUGAGGUCCAUGUUGGGUAGAGAGAGAUUGCUUCAAAAUAAAAAAUCUUUAAAAUGGUCCAAA